This 253-nucleotide ribosomal RNA is filed under the name uncultured bacterium. RNAcentral describes it as "partial 16S ribosomal RNA". It matches the Rfam family "Bacterial small subunit ribosomal RNA", at positions 524 to 776 of the family's 1533-position model. The record is from RNAcentral.
UACAGAGGUCCCAAGCGUUGUUCGGAUUCAUUGGGCGUAAAGGGUGCGUAGGUGGCGCCGUAAGUCAGGUGUGAAAUCUCGGGGCUUAACUCCGAAACUGCAUUUGAUACUGCGGUGCUUGAGGACUGGAGAGGAGACUGGAAUUUACGGUGUAGCGGUGAAAUGCGUAGAUAUCGUAAGGAAGACCAGUGGCGAAGGCGGGUCUCUGGACAGUUCCUGACACUGAGACACGAAGGCCAGGGGAGCAAACGGG